This 388-nucleotide long non-coding RNA is filed under the name Carica papaya (papaya). RNAcentral's name for it is "long non-coding RNA (CPAP_LNC016049)". The record is from RNAcentral. Lineage: Eukaryota; Viridiplantae; Streptophyta; Magnoliopsida; Brassicales; Caricaceae.
GAUCAUAUUAAUUUAAAUAUCAUGCAUGCAAAUAUCCAUAAUCCUUCCACAUGUUAGUCAAAUAACAUCAUGCUUCAUCAUCUCUUAUCAUGCCAUCAUAUUUAGUAUAUUAAUUUAUUUACUUGUUAAAAUGAUGCAAAUCAUCCAAUAUCAUGGAACAUUUAUGUAAACAUAUUUAAAACAUAACAAUAAUUAAACAUGUAACAAGUCAUGUCACAUUCAUGCAAUAUUCUUUUAUUAAUCUAGAAAUUAUCCUUAUAAAGUACAAAGUUAAUACCAAAUUCAUUACUGAAAGCUUGAGGAAAGUCUUCUUCUUUCUAUCCUCUCUUUCUCUCUUUAAAAUUUUCUUUGGUGAAUGGAAGAAUGAAGAUGAUGUGACGGAGUGGUG